Molecule: ribosomal RNA, 497 nt
Filed under: uncultured bacterium
Lineage: Bacteria
Description: partial 16S ribosomal RNA
Rfam family: Bacterial small subunit ribosomal RNA
Source: RNAcentral
GAUGAACGCUGGCGGCGUGCCUAAUACAUGCAAGUCGAGCGAACAGACGAGGAGCUUGCUCCUCUGACGUUAGCGGCGGACGGGUGAGUAACACGUGGAUAACCUACCUAUAAGACUGGGAUAACUUCGGGAAACCGGAGCUAAUACCGGAUAAUAUGUUGAACCGCAUGGUUCAAUAGUGAAAGACGGUUUUGCUGUCACUUAUAGAUGGAUCCGCGCCGCAUUAGCUAGUUGGUAAGGUAACGGCUUACCAAGGCAACGAUGCGUAGCCGACCUGAGAGGGUGAUCGGCCACACUGGAACUGAGACGCGGUCCAGACUCCUACGGGAGGCAGCAGUAGGGAAUCUUCCGCAAUGGGCGAAAGCCUGACGGAGCAACGCCGCGUGAGUGAUGAAGGUCUUCGGAUCGUAAAACUCUGUUAUUAGGGAAGAACAAAUGUGUAAGUAACUAUGCACGUCUUGACGGUACCUAAUCAGAAAGCCACGGCUAACUACGUG